GGGUAGGGGUAGGGGCAAGCGGAAAGGGGUGGUGGGGCUGGAGGAGCUUGAGAUGGAGGGGCGGCUGGGGAAGAAGCGGGGCGGGGGGUAGGGGAGGGGCGUGCGGAAGGAGGACGUGCUGGAGUGGCUGGCGCGGCGUACAUGUGGAUGCGCCGGUGCCUCGGGCCGCCGGCCUUCCAGUUCACCUGCCGCCUCCUCUUCGGCGCGCCGCCCCCGGCCCGCGAGUUCACCCUCCGCCUCGAGCGGAGGGGCUUGCGGCCGGUCUCUACGCUUCAUAAACAAGUCUUUUAUUCUACCACGUAUAUAUUUCUGUAACACGCACGCUAACUGGCAGAUACACAGACGUUGCAACGGCGCAUAUCUACGCAACAACUGCACGGAACAUAGAGGUCCUACACACCGUUGCCGGAUCACAUAUGGUUACGUGAACUAAGUCCGCAUGCCUCCCUCGGCACAACACACAAGGUUAGCCUUUCGAUAGUCGGCGGUCGUGCCUAACAUAAGACAAAUCUCCAGCUCAAGCGUACGUGUGACGUAUGACAGCCCGGACCUUUAGAUGAGUUAUCUGAUGUUCCGCUUAACGAUGUAUUUGUCGUCUCUCUCUCGUACCCCUGCCGGACGGGGUGUAGGGUACUCCAUGGGUGACCGGACGGGGUCGAGGGGGUUCAGAGAAGGAACAGGUUUGGCCACAGCCACGGGAGACCAAGCAGCCCCACCUACGCGUAACUAGCCGCGGCUACGUACCGCCCAGCCCCGGGCCGAGGAAGGGGCCUAGCACCAGAGGAGCCAGGAGGAGGAAGGAGACACCACAACCUAGGCCUGCUACACCGCAGUGGCCAGCGACCAGGACUAACAGGAGGAGAGUCCGGCCCCGGCCGCGGCCACCGCCGCCAGCGCAGCCGCACACGCCCCCGCCUACCACCGGUUUGGGAUCUAGGCCCAACGGGACACCAGUUCCACCCGGAACCACCCGUGAACCCGGACCACCGCGGACCUAACUGAGCCCGACCCGGCGGGCCCGGGGGCCGAGGUAGGAGAGAGCUAAGAAAGGGAGGGGAGGGCAGACACCCGUGCCCCGUCAACCAUCACCGGUGACGUAGCGCAGGCAGGGGAGGGAACCGGGCGACAGGGUAAGGCCGGGUAAGCCGGGUGAGACCGGACCGGACAACAUCGAUAUAUACCCACGCGGCGCCACGGAGAGGGGGGAAGGAUCCCAAAGGCCGAAGGCGGCGACUAUAGGCGUCCCGCGUAGCAGGAUAGGCGGUAAAGAGGUCUAGGUGAAGAAGGGGUGGAGGAGAGGAGGAGAGGAAGCGACUUCACUAGCGGUACCUGUUCAGAUCCCCGAGGAGGAGACUCCGGGAAAGCCCAUCGUUCGCCCGGGCACUUCAAAGCGGCCCGUUACCACAGCUAGACCGGAUACUCCGCCUCGACACCAGCUUCGAGCUUAUACUCGUCCGCCGGGCGCUCGACAGCGCGCUCGCCCUCCUAACCCUCCGCCCCGGCCUCGCGAGGCACCGGUCUAGACCCUACCACGAGGGACCUAGACCACCACACAGCCCCAGCCCCGGCCUAGACACCCUCGGGCGACGACGAAGCAACCACCACCGAGUAGGAGCAGCCGCGACGCGGGGCGAGGCCGGUCCCCAGGCCAGGGAGGCGGAGCCGGUGGAGGAGCGAGCAAACGUCGACCGCGACGGAGAGCGAGCCCCGGCGCGAAGCCCGGACCGAGAAGGAGAAGCAACCAGCCCCUGGUCGCACGAGGAGGGAGACGAGGACCACGGAGAAGACGCCAGGCACCACUACCGUAGGACGGCGGCGGUGGAGGGGGAGAGGCGGUCGUAGGACAACGGAGCCCGGGAAGAGGCUGGGACU
Molecule: ribosomal RNA, 1872 nt
Filed under: Triticum aestivum (bread wheat)
Lineage: Eukaryota; Viridiplantae; Streptophyta; Magnoliopsida; Poales; Poaceae
Description: partial small subunit ribosomal RNA
Source: RNAcentral